RNAcentral lists this ribosomal RNA (3034 nucleotides) under Durio zibethinus. RNAcentral's name for it is "eukaryotic LSU rRNA". The stretch from base 388 to 2059 matches the Rfam family "Eukaryotic large subunit ribosomal RNA". The record is from RNAcentral. Lineage: Eukaryota; Viridiplantae; Streptophyta; Magnoliopsida; Malvales; Malvaceae.
ACUCAUGGCAAUAGAUAUCUAUAUUCUCACAUUGAUGAAGAACAUAGGAAAAUGCGAUACUAUAUGUGAAUUACAAAAUCCCAUGAACCAUCAAGUUUGUGAACGCAUGUUACACCCUAAGCCAUUAGAUCGAGGGCAGGUCUGCCUGGGUGUCAUUCAUCAUUGCCCACUCUAACCCUUAACCCAUUAAGCUUUAGGUGAGAGGAGAAGAAGAUGGCCUCUCAUCAUCUCAAUGAUCGAUGUUGGCCUAAUAGCAAGACUCCAACAAUGAUAGCACCAUGAUCAUUGUUGGUAAAGCUCUUGAUGUGCCUCGUCUCUGAUGAUGCACGCUUAUUCUCUAUCUAAACCCCAUUGACCCCUUGUAUCACUCAAUCGAUGCUCACAUCAUGACCUCGGGUUAGGUGAGAUUACCCACUGAGUUUAAGCAUAUCAAUAAGAAGAGGAAAAUAAACUUACUAGGAUUCUUAUAGUAAUAGUGAAUGAAUCGAGAAGAGCCUAGCUUGAGAAUCAAGCACCUCUAACAUUCGAAUUAUAGUUUGGAGAACUGUCUUCAAUGGCAGACUAGGCCUAAGUCCCUUAGAAAAUGGUACCAGAGAGGGUGAGAGCCCCAUUGUGCCUAGACACUAUCACACCAUAAAGCGCUAUUUGUAAGUCGAGUUGUUUAGGAAUACAGCCCCAAUUGAGCAAUAAAUUCCAUCCAAGGCUGAAUACAGGUGAGAGGCUGAUAGUGAAUAAGAACCAUGAGGGAAACAUGAAAAUGACUUUGAAAAAGGAGUCAAAGAGUGCUUGAAAUUGUCAAAAAGAAAGUGGAUAAAGGCUAGUGAUGUGCCUUAGUCAGAUAAGGAACAACAAGAACUAGUCUAUCGAAUGACUUGAGGCAUGGAUUGACACCCAAGCUUUUGAUAUAGUAGUGAAGAUGUCAUCACCAUGAUCAUGGAAUCCAACACACACCAUCUCAGUGUGCCUCAGCACCAAUGUGCUCCCGACGUUAGCCUACUAGUUCAUCAUCUAGCCUAUCUUGAAGCACAGACCAAAGAGUUUGACAUUUGUGUGAGUUAAUGGGCUAGAAAACCCGUAAGGCAUAAAAAACCUAAUUGGCAAGAUCCCUUGUGGGUGCACCACUGACUAACCUUGAUUUUCUAAGAAAAGUUUAAGUGUAAGCAUGCAUGUCGGGACCUCAAAGAUGGUGAACUAUGUCUGAGUAAGGCAAAGCCAAAGAAAACUCUGAUGGAGGCCUGCAGUGAUACUCAUGUGCAAAUCUUUUGUCUAACUUGAGUAUAUAGGUGAAAGACUAAUCGAAUGGUUUAGUAGCUGGUUCCCUCCAAAGUUUCCCUCAAGAUAGCUAGAGCCCUUAGCGAGUUCUAUCAGAUAAAGCCAAUGAUUAGAAGUAUUGGGAGGACAACACCUUUGACCUAUUCUUAAAUGUUGAAUAGGUAGGAUAGUGUGGCUAUUUUGUUGAGCCGUGCCACAAAUCAAGAGCUCCAAAUGGGCUUUUUUUUUGGUAAGUAAAAAUGGUGAUGUGGGAUAAACCAAAAGUAGGGUUACAAUGCCCAACUGUGCAUUAACCUAGAACCCAUAAAAGGUGUUAGUCAAUUAAGAUAGUAGGAUGAUGGUCAUAAAAGUUGAAAUCUACUAAGGAGUGUGUAGCAACUCACCUAUCAAAUCAACUAGCAUAAAAAAUGGAUGGCACUUAAGCGUGUGACCUAUACCUAGCCAUCGAAGCAAGGGCCAGGCCCUAAUGAAUAGGAGGUCAGAGCGACCAUCAGUGCAGAUCUUGAUAGUAGUAGCAAAUAUUCAAAUGAGAACUUUGAAAACUAAAAAGGGGAAAAGUUCCGUGUGAAUAACACCUUCACUUAGGUUAGUUGAUCCAAAGAGAUGGGGGAAGCCUAUUCGAUAGUGUGUUUGGUGUGAGCUUUAAAAGGGAAUUGGUAAUUCCUAUACUAGAUGCAAAGUUGACCAGUUGGCAUGCAUGCAAAUAAAGGGCUCGAUUGUGCUGAGCUCAAGCUCAUGCCCGUAACUGAAGCUACCCCAAACCCCAGACCAAGUCCUUGAAUUGGGUAACAGUUCUAUGGGGUGGUGCAAGUAAAACUAUGAUCACUGGCUUGGCUUGGCCAAGUCUCUCAGGUUUUUAACAAUUUCAUUAUCCUUUCUUGUCAACCAUAAAAAUGCCUUGGCCUAGCAAGUACAUCCAUGCAGUCGAUGCUACCUAAAACUCUAGGAAUAAGUCCCCGAAUUGGGCAACAUCCUUCUAAGGUGGUGACAGUGGAGAUUGCAUGUGCAGUCUCGACCAGACCAAGCAUUGAUAUGCCAUGUUGUUGUUGUCGUUAGAUGGUAGAGGUACUCUUAUGGCUUUUAUUUAUGUUUUUUCAUGCCAGGCAGUUAUGGCAUGGACUCAUGCGUUGUUUUCUCUGUUUGCUAUUUGAAUAAUCGAUCGGGUGCAUUAUAGACCAGUGUGCAUAGAUAUUGUCACUUGUACGUAAUGGGCAUAUGAAAGGUGCUAUUGUUGUGGAUGUUGGUUGGCUUCAUGCUCGAUGCAUCAAAUUAUCAACCCAUCAUCCUCUUCAAUCUCCCCCCAUGUGGUUAUCUUACCUUGGGGGUGCAAUCGGGAUCUUAUGCUGUAUACCUAAUCGAUGAAAAUCAAAUGUCUUGCCAUCUUUCAACUAUCAUGCAUCCUUUAGGGCUAUGAGUCAGACCUCAAUCAUUCCUUGUGUCCUAAGUGUGCCACCCAAACCUUCAUGGCCAUAUUGGUGCACUAGUGUUUAAUCAUGCUCUCAGAUGCAUAAUGUUUUAUCAGUGUGGGCUCUCAACCCUUAUUCGUCCGAUGCCAUGAAUUCAUGUGCUCAACACUUGUGCUCUGUGUUGGCUCUCUUUGUUGCUUAAUCAGUGAAUUAAGGCCCAUAUGGUGCCAAUGUCUUGAAAGAAUGCUACCUAGUUGAUCAGUAGUCAUACACUUGUCUUAAAGAUGAAGCCAUGCAUGUGUAAGUAUGAACUAAUUCAGACUAUGAAAUUAUGAAUGGCUCAUUAAAUUAGUUGU